ACAACCAGAGACUUCACCGCAUUCGCAGUGUGCAUAAGUUUUAAUCUGCCUUUGUUACAAUCAGUUGAGCUCUGGGUUCGGGAUGUGUGGGCACGUCUCUUCUUUGGAUGCCGCUCGGGUCACACAGAAGGCUGAAUGCUCAUCGAAAGCAUCAGCUUGACUUAUAAGCCAAGUUGCAGCUUAAAUGGGAAUAAUCUUCAAAGUCCGAAGUGUUGCCCGUGGCAUCAGCAAGGUUUAAUACCCUCGGUAUUUGGGCAAGAGUGCAAAAACAAUUCACAAGUUGCACGCAGUAAAUAAAAUAAAAUGCGAAAGAGUGCUGCUAAAAGACGCUUCUCAGCAGCCAAGCGAUUUGUGUGCAAAUUUUCAACUGUCAUUAUAUGUACACAUGUGUGUGUGUGGGUGUGUGAUAUGUGU
Molecule: long non-coding RNA, 414 nt
Organism: Drosophila sulfurigaster albostrigata
Lineage: Eukaryota; Metazoa; Arthropoda; Insecta; Diptera; Drosophilidae
Exons: 3
Source: RefSeq, a predicted model, not a curated record